UGGCUCAGGAUGAACGCUAGCGGCAGGCUUAACACAUGCAAGUCGAGGGGCAUCGGGAGUAGCAAUACUGCCGGCGACCGGCGCAAGGGUGCGUAACGCGUGAGCAACAUGCCCGUAUCAGGGGGAUAAUCCAUGGAAACGUGGUCUAAUACCCCAUAGUAAUUAUGUAAGGCAUCUUAUAUAAUUUAAAGCUUUGGUGGAUACGGAUUGGCUCGCGUGACAUUAGCUAGAUGGUAAGGUAACGGCUUACCAUGGCUACGAUGUCUAGGGGUUCUGAGAGGAAGGUCCCCCACACUGGAACUGAGACACGGUCCAGACUCCUACGGGAGGCAGCAGUGAGGAAUAUUGGACAAUGGAUGGAAAUCUGAUCCAGCCAUGCCGCGUGCAGGAAGAACCGGCCCUAUGGGUUGUAAACUGCUUUUGUAUGGGAGCAAUAAGGGCUACGUGUAGUCCGAUGAGAGUACCAUACGAAUAAGCACCGGCUAACUCCGUGCCAGCAGCAGC
This 504-nucleotide ribosomal RNA is filed under the name uncultured bacterium. RNAcentral's name for it is "bacterial SSU rRNA". It matches the Rfam family "Bacterial small subunit ribosomal RNA", at positions 20 to 518 of the family's 1533-position model. The record is from RNAcentral.